RNAcentral lists this ribosomal RNA (496 nucleotides) under uncultured bacterium. RNAcentral's name for it is "partial 16S ribosomal RNA". It matches the Rfam family "Bacterial small subunit ribosomal RNA", at positions 29 to 507 of the family's 1533-position model. The record is from RNAcentral.
AUGAACGCUGGCGGCGUGCCUAAUACAUGCAAGUCGAGCGCACGGACGAGAAGCUUGCUUCUCUGAUGUUAGCGGCGGACGGGUGAGUAACACGUGGAUAACCUACCUAUAAGACUGGGAUAACUUCGGGAAACCGGAGCUAAUACCGGAGAAUAUUUUGAACCGCAUGGUUCAAAAGUGAAAGACGGUCUUGCUGUCACUUAUAGAUGGAUCCGCGCUGCAUUAGCUAGUUGGUAAGGUAACGGCUUACCAAGGCAACGAUGCAUAGCCGACCUGAGAGGGUGAUCGGCCACACUGGAACUGAGACACGGUCCAGACUCCUACGGGAGGCAGCAGUAGGGAAUCUUCCGCAAUGGGCGAAAGCCUGACGGAGCAACGCCGCGUGAGUGAUGAAGGUCUUCGGAUCGUAAAACUCUGUUAUUAGGGAAGAACAUAUGUGUAAGUAACUGUGCACAUCUUGACGGUACCUAAUCAGAAAGCCACGGCUAACUACGUG